RNAcentral lists this ribosomal RNA (429 nucleotides) under Actinomycetes bacterium. RNAcentral describes it as "Actinobacteria bacterium partial 16S ribosomal RNA". It matches the Rfam family "Bacterial small subunit ribosomal RNA", at positions 355 to 776 of the family's 1533-position model. The record is from RNAcentral. Lineage: Bacteria; Bacillati; Actinomycetota; Actinomycetes.
UAGGGAAUCUUCCGCAAUGGGCGAAAGCCUGACGGAGCAACGCCGCGUGAGUGAUGAAGGUCUUCGGAUCGUAAAACUCUGUUAUUAGGGAAGAACAAAUGUGUAAGUAACUAUGCACGUCUUGACGGUACCUAAUCAGAAAGCCACGGCUAACUACGUGCCAGCAGCCGCGGUAAUACGUAGGUGGCAAGCGUUAUCCGGAAUUAUUGGGCGUAAAGCGCGCGUAGGCGGUUUUUUAAGUCUGAUGUGAAAGCCCACGGCUCAACCGUGGAGGGUCAUUGGAAACUGGAAAACUUGAGUGCAGAAGAGGAAAGUGGAAUUCCAUGUGUAGCGGUGAAAUGCGCAGAGAUAUGGAGGAACACCAGUGGCGAAGGCGACUUUCUGGUCUGUAACUGACGCUGAGGUGCGAAAGCGUGGGGAUCAAACAGG